Molecule: non-coding RNA, 101 nt
Organism: Pelobates cultripes (western spadefoot toad)
Lineage: Eukaryota; Metazoa; Chordata; Amphibia; Anura; Pelobatidae
Source: the annotation of a GenBank genome assembly
UCUUGCUCUCUCCUAUAGGGCCACACUCCACUCUCACCAUGCUCUGCUACUUUCCCAUCAUGGUGAGAGUGGAGUGUGGCCCUAUAGGAGAGAGCAAGAGG